CUACGGGUUGCUCCAGUGGGGAAUAUUGCACAAUGGGGGAAACCCUGAUGCAGCAACGCCGCGUGGAGGAUGACACAUUUCGGUGCGUAAACUCCUUUUAUAGGUCAAGAUAAUGACGGUAGCCUAUGAAUAAGCGCCGGCUAACUCCGUGCCAGCAGCCGCGGUAAUACGGAGGGCGCAAGCGUUACUCGGAAUCACUGGGCGUAAAGAGGAUGUAGGCGGGUUAAUAAGUCAGAAGUGAAAUCCAAUAGCUCAACUAUUGAACUGCUUUUGAAACUGUUAACCUAGAGUGUGGGAGAGGUAGAUGGAAUUUCUGGUGUAGGGGUAAAAUCCGUAGAGAUCAGAAGGAAUACCGAUUGCGAAGGCGAUCUACUGGAACAUUACUGACGCUGAGAUGCGAAAGCGUGGGGAGCAAACAGGAUUAGAUACCCCAGUAGUC
Molecule: ribosomal RNA, 439 nt
Filed under: uncultured bacterium
Lineage: Bacteria
Description: partial 16S ribosomal RNA
Rfam family: Bacterial small subunit ribosomal RNA
Source: RNAcentral